This 175-nucleotide ribosomal RNA is filed under the name uncultured bacterium. RNAcentral's name for it is "partial 16S ribosomal RNA". It matches the Rfam family "Bacterial small subunit ribosomal RNA", at positions 602 to 776 of the family's 1533-position model. The record is from RNAcentral.
CUGGGGCUCAACUCCAGAAUUGCCUUUAAGACUGCAGCGCUUGAAGCCAGGAGAGGAUGGUGGAAUUCCGAGUGUAGAGGUGAAAUUCGUAGAUAUUCGGAAGAACACCAGUGGCGAAGGCGGCUCACUGGACUGGUAUUGACGCUGAGGUGCGAAAGCGUGGGGAGCAAACAGG